Cyprinus carpio carpio is the source of this 1655-nucleotide long non-coding RNA. The record is from Ensembl. Lineage: Eukaryota; Metazoa; Chordata; Actinopteri; Cypriniformes; Cyprinidae.
UCUUUAUCCAUUUGUCAAUCGAGUUUAAAAAAAAUGUCAUCGGACAUGUGGCUACACGUGGGAGCAACCAAUCAACUUUUGCCUCGAUUUGAAGAGCCAACCCUUCUCUCACUUGUAAAUGUAACACGCACUGACAGUGAGAAUACCUAUACGUCAUUGCAAGGGGAGUAUAAAGACGGAUUCACCAGCUUGUGCAUGGAAGGAUACAAACUCAUCAGGAGUGAAAAGGUUUGAACCCCCUUUCCCCCUUUUUAAUACCAUAGGGGAAAAAAAGUGAACAGUAAAAAAGGAGAAAAAAGAAAAGUGACCCCAGACAGUAGAACACAUUUUUUUUUUAUUAUUCAUUUUAUAGCAAUAUUGCAUGUGUUUGAAAAUAUAUAAAUGAAUGUCAUGAUUCCCACUAUGGCCACUAGAUGACAGCAGAGGAUCAUUUAUUGUCUCAUUUACCAUUUACACUCUGUAAUAUAGUUAUUUUUAUUUUAUGCUAAUGGAUUUAUAUUUAGACAUUAUAAAAUCACUAUUAUAGCAUUUAAAUAUCUAUUUUUUUGUCAAAGUUUUGUAUUAAAGUAUGAAGUAGCAAGAGUUUUCAACUCAUUGGAUCUACUGGAAUCACACAGAUGGUCUUUGAAUUCAGAAUGGCAAUUUUCAGCAAAAGGUGGCCAGUUUGUUUCCUUGUUUACAAUCUUCUCAGUUUCUCUCAAAUGUAAAUCAAAUGCCCAUUCACAAACAUGUGUUUUGUUGUUGUUGUUGUUUCCCGAGCAAUAGAGAUCGGAAAUGAACUGAUAUUAAUCACUUUGCCAUCUUAGACAGUGGCGGUGCCAUGAUGUUUUCAUAGGGGUGGCCAGGAAGGCGCCAGCAACCAGUCUGGGGUGGAACAGAAAAUUAUUUCUAUAUAGAAAUUAACUUGACUAUAAAGUACUGGACGGUUUUAGCACCUAAAACACAACUGAAUACAAUUUAUUUGUACUUAAUUGUAACUGAAAUAGUUUUUACAUUUGAGAUAGAAUUACAUGAAGCAAUACUGAGCAAUACUCGUUGUCCGCCUCUGUCUGCUUUUCUGCAACAGACUGAAGCCUCCGUGCAUGUGCAUUCAGCGUGCCUUUCUUUUCAGCUAAUACAAUAAAAAUGCUGCAAUUUUCUGGAGUUAUUUUAUGAUUGUUUGUGCAGUCUCAAGCUAUAUCUUAAACUUCUCAAAAUACAAUCCUCUUCAGAUUAGUUUUAAUCUAAAUAAAACAAUCUUUAUCUAAUUCUGAUUGGGUGGGCAAGACAGUCAUUUGGGUGGGCUUAGCCCACCCCUGCCCAUGCCUGGAGCCGGCCCUGCUGUGAGUCAGAAGCGCCAUACUGUCCUUGCAAAGUUGGAAUUGCCCCUCUUUAUAGAAACAGACACCAGCAUUGUAGGCUACUCUCCCAGGAAACAGACCUCGUCCUCCGCAAAAUGCACUGCACACAUCUGAAUAUUUGGAUUGAACUGUUCCGGAACAGAGUUGUAAAUACAACUUAACCACUGAUUUCUAGUUGUGUCCUCUUUUGGAAGGCCAAACAAAGUAGAUUCACUUUCACAACAAAACACGUAGCAUCGCCACAACAUGGCACCCGCAGCAACAAUGAGAAUAAGUUACGGAUUCUUUCUUUGCAUGAACAUUUGGGGCGGCAUU